This 505-nucleotide ribosomal RNA is filed under the name uncultured Planctomycetota bacterium. RNAcentral describes it as "bacterial SSU rRNA". It matches the Rfam family "Bacterial small subunit ribosomal RNA", at positions 355 to 853 of the family's 1533-position model. The record is from RNAcentral. Lineage: Bacteria; Pseudomonadati; Planctomycetota.
UCGAGAAUCUUCGGCAAUGGGGGAAACCCUGACCGAGCGACGCCGCGUGCGGGAUGAAGGCCUUCGGGUUGUAAACCGCUGUCGUAAGGGAACAAAUUUACGGGGGUACUCCCCUGUAAUUGAGUGAUCUUAGGAGGAAGGACGGGCUAAGUUCGUGCCAGCAGCCGCGGUAAGACGAACCGUCCGAACGUUAUUCGGUAUCACUGGGCUUAAAGAGUUCGUAGGCGGCCCGACGGGUGAGGUGUGAAAUCCCUCGGCUCAACCGAGGAAUUGCGCUUCAAACCGUCAGGCUUGAGGGAGAUAGAGGUGAGCGGAACAGAUGGUGGAGCGGUGAAAUGCGUUGAUAUCAUCUGGAACACCGGUGGCGAAAGCGGCUCACUGGAUCUUUUCUGACGCUGAGGAACGAAAGCUAGGGUAGCGAACGGGAGUUAGAUACCCCGGUAGUCCUAGCCGUAAACGAUGAGCACUAGUCUGUGGGGACCCUCACAUCCUCUCGGACGUAGCG